Molecule: long non-coding RNA, 1410 nt
Filed under: Gallus gallus (chicken)
Lineage: Eukaryota; Metazoa; Chordata; Aves; Galliformes; Phasianidae
Source: RNAcentral
GCAAAACACUGCUGUUCUAGCAGAAUAUAUGCUGCUCGGAGGCAGCUUCUCUCUCUUCCCCUCAGUUUCUUGUGAUACUGCUGGUCUUGCUACUAAAAGAUUAAAAGGAGUUCUUAGGAAGUCAGUGCUAAUGAAAUAACCUAGAACAGAGCCUCCAGAGACUGUGACCUCUGCUUAUCCUUACGUUCAACAGGAGGCUGCCUGGAGCAAUUUAUCCUCUAAUCCCACGUAAACUUCGCUGCAAGAGUUACUACUGUGCCAGAUGCACAGUGGAGAAUCUCACCUCUAACAUGAGAGAUCCCAGACUGUAAGGAUGCAUCUGCAGCAACAGAGUAACAUCAGUUUCCUGACUGCUAGCAAGAUCCAGAAGGCUGAAGAAUACUUCAUUUCAAAGACAGGCAUGAAAGCCUGAUAGCUAAAAGAAGCAAAGACUUGCAGAGAACAGAUCUGCUCAGUGAGAUUCACGCACAGGACAGCUAUUUCUGGUUCAGCAGGCAGAUGUGUUUAUUCUUUGUCAGAAGGCGACACAGAUCGGUACCUGAAGGCAGUAAUCAUUUACAAGCAAGGGACUGUCACUACCCUAACGCAGGGCCCUUCCUCUCACAUCUCAUCAGAUGCCAGGGAGCGUGAAGUCACACAAACACAAACUCCUGGAAUAAGAUGCCAGUAAGCUACAUUACUGCCAGGGUGUUCUCCAGCUACUCUGGCACCUCCACCCCGUACAGGUCAAACAGUUCGCUGGGUAACUAACUGCACUUUCUUGAACAAGUUUACAGAAAAUUAGCCAGCAGAGCAAUGCUGUACCCCAAAAUGCCUCUGAUUACCUGACUCUUGAUGCCUUGCUGAGUGAUGAAGGUCUUCAGAGCCCCUGUUUCAGAGUUCUGAGGAUAGCCAAAAUCCAGGAUUUCUACAAGAGAGUAAAAGACAAUUAGCUCAGAGCCACAAGCCAGAAGUGCAACAGAGACAUGCCAACUACAUUAACAACUAUGGUAAGGAAAGGGUUACAGAACAACCAAAUGCAAUAUCAUACAGCUGGCCGAAGGGAAACAUCUCACCAUCCAGCAGCUCAUAGAUCAGCACGAAGUUGUUCUUUAUGUUUUCUUCACUGAUCUUUCCGAAGUAAGCAGUCAUCACGUCACACAUCUUGUAAAGAAACUCAAACACCAUGGCAGCGUUGACAUUCUGCUUGGUGACAGCAGCCAGCCAGAUGUUGGAACGCUUGACAUGGAAGAAACUUGUGCGGGCGAUGUUGGUGACAGGCGAGCGGACCUGCUGCCGUGCGUGGAUGACAUUGACGCGGAAGGCAUCCACGGCAUUCCGCCCAAUGUCAUCCCGGUAGACUCGAGAGAUUAAAACCUCUCCUUUGUGAUUAUAGAUGAAUAAGCCUCCGAUCAUGAUGGAACUUUAAUC